RNAcentral lists this ribosomal RNA (722 nucleotides) under uncultured organism. Its description in RNAcentral is "bacterial SSU rRNA". It matches the Rfam family "Bacterial small subunit ribosomal RNA", at positions 57 to 774 of the family's 1533-position model. The record is from RNAcentral.
GCAAGUCGAGGGGUAACGAUGGUGCUUGCACCAGGCGACGACCGGCGGACGGGUGAGUAACGCGUAUGCAACCUACCUAUUGCAGGAAGAUAGCCCGAGGAAACUCGGAUUAAUAUUCCAUAAUAUCAUUUUUACACAUGUAUUAAUGAUUAAAGCUACGGCGGCAAUAGAUGGGCAUGCGUACCAUUAGCUAGUUGGUGAGGUAACGGCUCACCAAGGUUACGAUGGUUAGGGGGUCUUAAAGGAUGAUCCCCCACACUGGUACUGAGACACGGACCAGACUCCUACGGGAGGCAGCAGUGAGGAAUAUUGGGCAAUGGACGCAAGUCUGACCCAGCCAUGCCGCGUGCAGGAUGACUGCUCUAGUAGUUGUAAACUGCUUUUCUAUUUCAUGAACCCCUCUGACGUGUCAGGGGCUGACAGUAGAAUAGGAAUAAGCAUCGGCUAACUCCGUGCCAGCAGCCGCGGUAAUACGGAGGAUGCAAGCGUUAUCCGGAUUUACUAGGUUUAAAGGGUGCGUAGGCGGGGUAUCAAGUCAGUGGUGAAAUCCUGCAGCUCAACUGUAGAACUGCCAUUGAAACUGAUAUUCUUGAGUAUAGUUGAGGUAGGCGGAAUGUGUUAAGUAGCGGUGAAAUGCAUAGAGAUAACACAGAACACCGAUUGCGAAGGCAGCUUACUAAACUAUUACUGACGCUGAGGUACGAAAGCGUGGGGAGCGAACA